GACGAACGCUGGCGGCGUGCUUAACACAUGCAAGUCGAACGAAAAGAGGGAAAGAGCUUGCUCUUUCCGGCAUUGAGUGGCGAACGGGUGAGUAACACGUAAACAACCUGCCUUCAGGAUGGGGACAACAGACGGAAACGACUGCUAAUACCGAAUAAGUUCCAAGAGCUGCGUGGCCCAUGGAAGAAAAGGUGGCCUCUACCAGUACGCUAUCGCCUGAGGAGGGGUUUGCGUCUGAUUAGCUGGUUGGUAGGGUAACAGCCUACCAAGGCGACGAUCAUAGCUGGUCUGAGAGGAUGAUCAGCCACACUUGGACUGAGACACGGCCCAGACUCCUACGGGAGGCAGCAGUGGGGAAUAUUGGAGAAUGGGCGAAAGCCUAAUCCAGCAGUGCCGCGUGAGUGAUGAAGGCCUUAGGGUUGUAAAGCUCUUUUACCCGGGAUGAUAAUGACAGUACCGGGAGAAUAAGCUCCGGCUAACUCCGUG
Molecule: ribosomal RNA, 486 nt
Filed under: uncultured bacterium
Lineage: Bacteria
Description: partial 16S ribosomal RNA
Rfam family: Bacterial small subunit ribosomal RNA
Source: RNAcentral